RNAcentral lists this transfer RNA (64 nucleotides) under Peridexia fulvipes. RNAcentral describes it as "transfer RNA-Leu". The record is from RNAcentral. Lineage: Eukaryota; Metazoa; Arthropoda; Insecta; Coleoptera; Carabidae.
AUUGCUUUGGCAGAUAAGUGCAAAGAAUUUAGAAUUCAAAAAUGUAAUUGUAUUACAAGUAAUA